AGUCGAACGGUCAGUAGCAAUACUGAUAGUGGCGCACGGGUGCGUAACACGUAACUAACCUACCCAUCAUUGGGGGAUAGCCCGCCGAAAGGCGGAUUAAUACCGCAUAACACUAUAGAACGGCAUCGUUUAGUAGUUAAAGAUUUAUUGAUGAUGGAUGGGGUUGCGGGUCAUUAGCUAGUUGGUUGGGUAACGGCUGACCAAGGCGACGAUGACUAGGGGAGCUGAGAGGCUGGUCCCCCACACGGGCACUGAGAUACGGGCCCGACUCCUACGGGAGGCAGCAGUAGGGAAUAUUGGGCAAUGGGCGAGAGCCUGACCCAGCCAUGCCGCGUGCAGGAAGAAGGCUUUCUGAGUCGUAAACUGCUUUUGACAGGGAAGAAUAAGCUGAACGUGUUCAGUGAUGACGGUACCUGCAGAAUAAGCACCGGCUAACUCCGUGCCAGCAGCCGCGGUAAUACGGAGGGUGCGAGCGUUGUCCGGAUUUAUUGGGUUUAAAGGGUGCGUAGGCGGCCUUAUAAGUCCGGGGUGAAAGCCCGUUGCUCAACAACGGAACUGCCCUGGAUACUGGAGAGCUUGAGUACAGACGAGGUUGGCGGAAUGGACUGAGUAGCGGUGAAAUGCAUAGAUACAGUCCAGAACCCCGAUUGCGAAGGCAGCUGACUAGGCUGUUACUGACGCUGAGGCACGAAAGCGUGGGGAGCGAACAGGAUUAGAUACCCUGGUAGUCCACGCCGUAAACGAUGGAUACUCGCUGCGAGCUAAAGAUUGUUCGUGGCUUAGGGAAACCGAUAAGUAUCCCACCUGGGGAGUACGCUCGCAAGAGUGAAACUCAAAGGAAUUGAC
Molecule: ribosomal RNA, 846 nt
Filed under: uncultured bacterium
Lineage: Bacteria
Description: bacterial SSU rRNA
Rfam family: Bacterial small subunit ribosomal RNA
Source: RNAcentral